GUGGGGAAUAUUGGACAAUGGGGGGAACCCUGAUCCAGCCAUGCCGCGUGUGUGAAGAAGGCCUUUUGGUUGUAAAGCACUUUAAGCGAGGAGGAGGCUACCGAGAUUAAUACUCUUGGAUAGUGGACGUUACUCGCAGAAUAAGCACCGGCUAACUCUGUGCCAGCAGCCGCGGUAAUACAGAGGGUGCAAGCGUUAAUCGGAUUUACUGGGCGUAAAGCGCGCGUAGGUGGCCAAUUAAGUCAAAUGUGAAAUCCCCGAGCUUAACUUGGGAAUUGCAUUCGAGACUGGUUGGCUAGAGUAUGGGAGAGGAUGGUAGAAUUCCAGGUGUAGCGGUGAAAUGCGUAGAGAUCUGGAGGAAUACCGAUGGCGAAGGCAGCCAUCUGGCCUAAUACUGACACUGAGGUGCGAAAGCAUGGGGAGCAAACAGGAUUAGAUACCCGGGUAGUCC
RNAcentral lists this ribosomal RNA (451 nucleotides) under uncultured bacterium. Its description in RNAcentral is "partial 16S ribosomal RNA". It matches the Rfam family "Bacterial small subunit ribosomal RNA", at positions 354 to 796 of the family's 1533-position model. The record is from RNAcentral.